RNAcentral lists this long non-coding RNA (1038 nucleotides) under Anser cygnoides (Swan goose). RNAcentral describes it as "lncRNA (ENSACDG00005017437.1)". Lineage: Eukaryota; Metazoa; Chordata; Aves; Anseriformes; Anatidae. The record is from RNAcentral.
AUGGUUUUCUAUCUGCUUCCCCUUAGCCACAAGAUGCUGAUCUCCAAGCAGACACAUCAUCUCUGCAUAUCUCUGCUCCCCAGCCAGACAGUGACCUAUUUCAGAAGUCAAACUGAGAUCAAAUGUUACUUUCUGGUUCAUGGGUUUAAAAAAAAAAUGAAUCACAAGAGGACUAGAGGAAAGACAUGUUCAUCCUGCACACUGCUGUGUCCACAGGAGAGGACCAGAAAUGUAUACAGCACUCAGGAUACGCCACGGACCAAUCAUCAGUUAUUUGAGUGGCAGCUGUCUGUACUGAUUAACACUAAUUUCAAGCUCUCUUUUAUCUUUAAAAACUCAAGUUCAGCUUCAGAUUCCCUGUAAAUCAAUGAGACACAUUUGGGGUUUUCAAACCCUUGCUACUUGCCUACCAACUUCGUUAUACUCCAAGAGUUAAAGCCCGGAUCUGCAAAUUUUGAAAAAGAUGUACAGAUAUGAGGUACUUCAGACACAAUUUUUACUUCACACUUGCUAAUUGGAGGCAAGGCAAAGCUACACGUGGUGGUUUCAGCUGAGUGAUCCGCUUUCUGCAGGAUUUGUCCAGCAGCACGAUGAGCUGGGGUGAGUGGCUAAUGCAGCGGGAGAAAGGAGGACUUUUCUGGCUGGUUUUUCAGGCAGUAAACCCUGAACAGCCCCACAACAGGUGCAGCAGAGCAGGAUCAGCAUGGGCAAGCUGGCACCAGCCCCGCUGCACAGCCUGACUUCACCCCUAAGGAGGCUUUGGGUCCCCAAGAGAUGCAGGGACUCUGCUGAGGGGUUGCAUGCUGCCUGGCCAUAGCCAGGUGCUGUGUCCGAACAACCUCUUGUCUCUAGCAGAUUUGCAGCACACGGAUGGACCUACAAACCCUGGCCCUGUUGAACCUACAACGGAUGGCCCUGUUGAACCUACAAACACUCUGCCGGAUUGUAGAGCUGCUGUUGUUGAGCAGAACUCUAAUUAACCUAGCAAAUGCAAUGACAAAUAAUAAAGCUUCAGUGUCCUCUGGCUUAUUUGCUACU